ACGGGUGAGUAACGCGUAGGAAUCUGCCUGGUAGUGGGGGACAACGUCUCGAAAGGGACGCUAAUACCGCAUACGCCCUACGGGGGAAAGGGGGGGAUCUUCGGACCUCUCGCUAUCAGAUGAGCCUGCGUCGGAUUAGCUAGUUGGUAGGGUAAAGGCCUACCAAGGCGACGAUCCGUAGCUGGUCUGAGAGGACGAUCAGCCACACCGGAACUGAGACACGGUCCGGACUCCUACGGGAGGCAGCAGUGGGGAAUAUUGGACAAUGGGGGCAACCCUGAUCCAGCCAUGCCGCGUGUGUGAAGAAGGCCUUCGGGUUGUAAAGCACUUUAGGGGGGGAGGAAGGUUCCAAAGCGAAUACCUUUGGGAAUUGACGUUACCCCCAGAAUAAGCACCGGCUAACUUCGUGCCAGCAGCCGCGGUAAUACGAGGGGUGCAAGCGUUAAUCGGAAUUACUGGGCGUAAAGCGCGCGUAGGCGGUUAGGUAAGUCGAUUGUGAAAUCCCCGGGCUCAACCUGGGAAUUGCAGUCGAGACUGUCUGACUAGAGUGUGGGAGAGGGUGGUGGAAUUCCCGGUGUAGCGGUGAAAUGCGU
RNAcentral lists this ribosomal RNA (593 nucleotides) under uncultured Gammaproteobacteria bacterium. RNAcentral describes it as "bacterial SSU rRNA". It matches the Rfam family "Bacterial small subunit ribosomal RNA", at positions 102 to 691 of the family's 1533-position model. The record is from RNAcentral. Lineage: Bacteria; Pseudomonadati; Pseudomonadota; Gammaproteobacteria.